RNAcentral lists this transfer RNA (65 nucleotides) under Epacromius coerulipes. Its description in RNAcentral is "tRNA-Tyr". It matches the Rfam family "tRNA". Rfam says of the family: Transfer RNA (tRNA) molecules are approximately 80 nucleotides in length. Their secondary structure includes four short double-helical elements and three loops (D, anti-codon, and T loops). Lineage: Eukaryota; Metazoa; Arthropoda; Insecta; Orthoptera; Acrididae. The record is from RNAcentral.
GGUAAGAUGUCUGAAUUUAAGGUGAUAGACUGUAAAUCUAUUUAUGGAAGUUUUUCCUCUUACCA